AGCAAUUGAAGUAUUUGGGGCUGAUGGGGAAUAUCAGAAUUUUGGUGGCAAAAUGUUCCUUUAGAAUUCCCAAUCAGACAUAAGAUAUUUUACUAAUUUUGUUUGAAUGACAGCUUUGUUUUACUUGUCAUCUUUAGAUGUAAUUAUCUUUAUUUAUUUAUUUGUUUAUUUUUGAGACAGAGUCUUGCUCUGUUGCCCAGGCUGGAGUGCAGUGGCGCAAUCUCAGCUCACUGCAACCUCUGCCUCCCAGGUUCAAGUGAUUCUUAAGCCUCAGCCUCUCAAGUAGCAAGAAUUACAGGUGUGUGCCACCACACCUGGCUAAUAUUUGUGUUUUUAGUAGAGACAGGGUUUCACCAUGUUGGCCAGGCUGGUCUUGAACUCCUGGCCUCAAGUGAUUUGGCCUGCGUCAGCCUCCCAAAGUGCUGGGAUUACAGGCAUGAGCCACUAAGUCUGGCCACAAGAUGAUAUUUAAAUAUCCAUUUUAAGUGUCAGUGUCUUUAUAACUGUGCUAUUCACAAGAUUUUUUACACUGUGUGCAUGUAAUUUCUUUGGCUGGUAUCAGGGUAAUGCUGAUCUCAUAGAAUGAGUUGAAGUGUUCGCUCCUAUUUUCUGAGUUUGUGCAGAAUUGGCAUUAUUUCUUUAUGUUUUUGAUAGAGGUUUUUACCUAUAAAUUCAACUUCUUUGUUAUAUAUAGGACUAUUUGUGUUAUCUGUUUCCUCCUAGGUGAGCUUUGGUGGUUUGUGUGUUUCAAGGAAUUUGUCUAUUUCAUCUUAAGUUGUCAAUUUGGCAUAGAGUUGCUUAUAAUAUUCCCUUAUCAUAUUUUACAAUGUGUACUAAAAAUCAUUGAUAUAGUAUCCUACAAGCACAGUGGGUCUGAGGGAAGGGGAAAAUGUAGAGUUGCAUGUUGAAUGCUGUCUUGCAAUUGUGAGUGCAUUUCUGAGACUGUACUAGCUAUUUGAUCUGAGACAAAGGGGGCCAUCAAGAUGGGCCUGGGGUGGGGGCCAGGCCAGUGGACUCUGGGGGACCUAGGGGGCUGAGGGCAGCCUGUGUAGCAGCAGGGGUAAUAUCAGAGUUGAAGCUCAGAUCUCUCACAAGGCAAGGCCUGUCCUGCAAAUCCUGAUUUGUGCCUUCUUCAAAAAAAAAAAAAAUCUCCACCCCACCACAUAUGACCAGCUUCCAUGGCUUGACUGGCCUUUCUGCUCACCUGCAGGGGAACCUGAUCUCUCGGACAAGGACCACAAGGACCUGGAGGGCCGGCUGAAGGCUCGCGAGGACCUGCUGCUCCCCAUCUACCACCAGGUGGCAGUGCAGUUCGCCGACUUCCACGACACACCUGGCCGGAUGCUGGAGAAGGGCGUCAUAUCUGACAUCCUGGAGUGGAAGACCGCACGCACCUUCCUGUAUUGGCGUCUGCGCCGCCUCCUCCUGGAGGACCAGGUCAAGCAGGAGAUCCUGCAGGCCAGCGGGGAGCUGAGUCACGUGCAUAUCCAGUCCAUGCUGCGCCGCUGGUUCGUGGAGACGGAGGGGGCUGUCAAGGCCUACUUGUGGGACAACAACCAGGUGGUUGUGCAGUGGCUGGAACAGCACUGGCAGGCGGGGGAUGGCCCGCGCUCCACCAUCCGUGAGAACAUCACGUACCUGAAGCACGACUCUGUCCUCAAGACCAUCCGAGGCCUGGUUGAAGAAAACCCCGAGGUGGCCGUGGACUGUGUGAUAUACCUGAGCCAGCACAUCAGCCCAGCUGAGCGGGCGCAGGUCGUUCACCUGCUGUCUACCAUGGACAGCCCGGCCUCCACCUGACCCUGGCCCGCCCGGCCACUCCCGGGACCACGGCAAAAGGAACCACCCAGACCCACCACCCGUACACCCUCAGCAGACCCUGAAGACUUGCUUUUAAACAAAGAAAAUCCUGGGCACUUCUGCAGGGCCGCUGGUUCCGAGCUGACACCCGUCUUAAUAAAAGGCCCAGGAGUGCCUCUUCCAAACAAAAACAGCCUCCUCUCCAUAGCUGGGAAGUUUAUUUUGUUUUGUCUCUGAAGACAGCAGUUUUAUUGCAUCACUAAAUCUAAUCAAGCUAAAACAUCCCUGUUUCCUUUCGCAAAACAGUGCCUGGCAUGUGGGAUCCAGGCGUUCUUUAGGAUCCUUGGAUACCACAUCAUGAAAUCUUUUAUUUUUUUACUCUGAGACCAGCACCAGAUGUAAGUAAGCAUCUCAUAUAUUUCAGCCAAAUAAAUGGGCCAAGGGAAAAAAAAUAUAUAUAUAUAUAUAUAGACAGGACUAGAGAAAACCUAUUUUUGUAAUGAUGUUUCUUUGGAUACUGUCUAGUCACCCAGGAAAAUGUAUGGAUGAAUUUUUUUUUUUUUUUUUUUGAGACAAAGUCUCACGGUG
This 2388-nucleotide small RNA is filed under the name Pan troglodytes (chimpanzee). RNAcentral describes it as "retained intron". The record is from RNAcentral. Lineage: Eukaryota; Metazoa; Chordata; Mammalia; Primates; Hominidae.